RNAcentral lists this long non-coding RNA (1475 nucleotides) under Felis catus (domestic cat). RNAcentral's name for it is "lncRNA (ENSFCAG00000052176.1)". The record is from RNAcentral. Lineage: Eukaryota; Metazoa; Chordata; Mammalia; Carnivora; Felidae.
UACCAGUAAAGUGUCGAGGGUGUGGGAUUCUGGAAUCAACAGAAACUGGGUUUAAAUCCUUGUUCUUUUGAGUCUCAGUUGCCUCAGAUGUAAAAUGGGGUAGUAGGAUUUAUUGCAGAAGAUUUUAUGAGGUCUAAAUGAGGUAAUACAUUUAAAUACCCAAAACUUCUGCACUUCUAAUAAUGCCCAUCAAAUGUAAGCUACUAUUUUAAGUGUCUGAUUGAAUCAGAGAGAAAAAAAAAAUCCCUGGAUCAAUACUAUGGAGAAGGUUGUUUCUGUGCCCCUAAUUCAUUUUUUCCGCUCACCAUGUACGCAGAAUAAGGACUCCCUAAAAUGUUCCGAAAUUCCUAGAACCUGUAAAUAUGUUACAAGGAAAAGGACUUUGCAGUUGUAAUGAAGGGUAUAGACUUUAAGAGAAGACGAUCCUGGAUUAUUCCCAUGGGCACAGCCUAAUUACAUGAGCUUUUAAAAACGGAGAACUUUCUCUGGCUGGAAGCUGGAAAGUUUCUAAGCAUCAGAAGGGUUAGACAUGCCAUUGCUGGCUCUGAGAGCAAGGCCCAUGUGCAAGAACUGUAGAGAUGCCUUCGAGAGCUGAGGGCAGCCCCAGAGGAUAGGACCUCAGUACUAAAACCAUAAGAAAUUGAAUGAGUUGGAAAGCAGAUUGUUAUCAGAACCUCUCGGUAAGAGCCCAGCUGGCUGACAUCUUGAUUUCUGCCUUGUGACAUCUGGAUUAGAGAAACCCAUUGAGCCAGCUCAAACUUAUGACCUAAAGAACAGUGAGAUAAUAAAUUUAUGUUGUUUUUAGUCACUCUGUUUGUGGUUAUUUGUUAUGGUCGUGAUAGAAAACUAACACAUUAUUUGACCCCCUUCACGUCUCUUUCCAGACUUGUUAGAAGUUAGCUGCAAUUUCAAGGAUGUUUCACAAGGAUAACAUUACCCAGAGUGGAAAGAUGUCUAGCUAUAGUCACUCAUCAGCUUUAACCAUAAAAGCAAUGGUGCUUGUAUUAGUGUUCUCCAGAGAAAUAGAAUAUAUAAAUAUUCGACAUAAGAGAUGUAUUAUAAGGAAUUGGCUCAUGUGAUUAUGAAAGCUGACAAGUCCUACCAUCUGCAGUCAGCAAGCUGGAAAUCCAGGAGAGCCAGUGCUGUAGUUCCAGUCCGAAGGUAGGAAAAAUCCAAUGUCUCAGCUCAAGGCAGGCCAGCAGGAGGAAUUUUCCCCCUCUUGCAGGAGGGUCAGCUUUUUUUGUUCUAGUCAGGCCCUCAACUGAUUCGACGAGGCCCACCUAUAUCAUGAAGGGCAAUCUUUACUCCGUCUACCCACUUAAAUGUUACCCCCACCCAGAAACACAUUCAUGGAAACACACAGAAUAAUGUUUGAUCAAAUGCCUGGGCACUCCAUGGCUCAGUACAAUUAAUACAUAAAAUUAACCAUCGUGAGCCAACAUGUGUGUAAAUUAGACAUAUUAUUCAACUAAGCC